GUAUUUGCAAAAGGCUUUAUUUUGAAAGGUUCAUUCAUUCUUGAAUCCAGAGGAAUCUUGUAUAAGGUGUCAGACUACAAUAAUUUUGCAUUGAUGCUUCAAGCGUUGACAGAUCAAUUGGGAGACUAGUGAAUGAUGAGCAGAAACCCAAUGCAAAGAUGAAAAAGAAGUGGAUGCCCAUGGCUCCUGCUACAGUCCAGGACCAAGUCAUCUCUCCCACUGCCCCUCCUGAAAAGUGGAUAACAGAGGUAUAUACACAUCUGCAAGAACACCAUGGACGAAAGCUGAGGUCAACGCUGUGAUGUGACGCUUCAAAUCUCAUAUCAUGAAAGGUCACUUGGCAUCUAAGAGGGAAUGUGAGGUGUGCAAAAAGUGUGAUCAUCCAGCUCUACAAAACAGGACAUGCCAAAAUAUCAGAGAUUUUGUUCGAACCAUUUAAACGUCAGUUGAACUAAAUUGAAUUUGUCCAAGGGACUAAAUCUCUCACGUUUUCACUUGUGAUUUUAUUGUCUCUUUUUUAGUUUUGUUUUUAUUCCCAUCACUGAGUGACAGUGUUUAACAUGUUUACUCUCUGAAUGAUGCUGUUGAAGGUUUUAAUGUAGAUGUUUAUUCCAAUGGACCAAAUUUUUCUAAAUGACAAAUUUUUUUCUCCCUCUUGUUGUAUCAUAUAUGUAAUAUCAGUGUUUACACAUAUGAUACAUUCCUGAUAUUCAAUAUUUUAAACAAUCAUCUAAAGCAUCACAAUCACAACUGCAUUAUG
Molecule: long non-coding RNA, 760 nt
Organism: Xyrauchen texanus (razorback sucker)
Lineage: Eukaryota; Metazoa; Chordata; Actinopteri; Cypriniformes; Catostomidae
Exons: 4
Source: RefSeq, a predicted model, not a curated record